CCUACGGGGGGCUGCAGUGAGGAAUCUUCCACAAUGGGCGAAAGCCUGAUGGAGCAACUCCGCGUGCAGGAUGAAGGCCUUCGGGUUGUAAACUGCUUUUAUGAGUGAAGAAUAUGACGGUAACUCAUGAAUAAGGGUCGGCUAACUACGUGCCAGCAGCCGCGGUCAUACGUAGGACCCAAGCGUUAUCCGGAGUGACUGGGCGUAAAGAGUUGCGUAGGUGGUUUGUUAAGUGAAUAGUGAAAGCUAGCGGCUCAACCGUAUAGAUUAUUAUU
Molecule: ribosomal RNA, 275 nt
Filed under: uncultured bacterium
Lineage: Bacteria
Description: partial 16S ribosomal RNA
Rfam family: Bacterial small subunit ribosomal RNA
Source: RNAcentral